Non-coding RNA from Pelobates cultripes (western spadefoot toad), 230 nucleotides. Lineage: Eukaryota; Metazoa; Chordata; Amphibia; Anura; Pelobatidae. The record is from the annotation of a GenBank genome assembly.
ACUGGGCAUCGCAGGUAACUAAAAUAAAAUUGGGUUGCCAAAUAAAAUUAUUUAAGAAUUUUAAAAGGGACAUGAAAUCUUUUAAAUAAGACCUCAUGAGUUUGACAGAGGAUUGGAGAAGAAUAUCUAUAUAUUGUGACAGGUUGCUCAACAAUGAGCCAAUACCUGAUACGAUGUGCUUGCCUGGUGGUUGAGUUACGUUUUUAUGAAUCUUAGGCAAAAAAUAUAUU